GAAAUGCGAUAAGUAAUGUGAAUUGCAGAAUUCAGUGAAUCAUCGAGUUUUUGAACGCAUAUUGCGCCCCUUGGUAUUCCGAGGGGCACGCCUGUUCGAGCGUCAUUCAGACCAUCAAGCUUCGCUUGGUAUUGGGCUACCCUGCCUUCCCCGUUCGCGGGGAAGCGGGCGGCCUUGAAGACGUUGGCGGCAUGGCCCGAUCCAAAGCGUGACGACCUCACAGCGGCGGGGAUGGGUGAGCCAGCUCAAUCAACCUUUUAAUUUUCUCAGGUUGACCUCGGAUCAGGCGGGGAUACCCGCUGAACUUAA
Molecule: unclassified non-coding RNA, 309 nt
Filed under: uncultured Pleosporales
Lineage: Eukaryota; Fungi; Ascomycota; Dothideomycetes; Pleosporales
Description: sequence contains ITS1
Rfam family: 5.8S ribosomal RNA (bases 1-105)
Source: RNAcentral